CCUGCAUUGUACACACUGUGUGUCUCGCUCUCUGCACACAGCGCGUACAAUGUGGAU
RNAcentral lists this microRNA precursor (57 nucleotides) under Ornithorhynchus anatinus (platypus). Its description in RNAcentral is "Oan-Mir-460-P1_pre stem-loop". It matches the Rfam family "mir-460 microRNA precursor family", at positions 12 to 68 of the family's 77-position model. The record is from RNAcentral. Lineage: Eukaryota; Metazoa; Chordata; Mammalia; Monotremata; Ornithorhynchidae.